GAGUUUGAUCGUGGCUCAGGAUGAACGCUGGCGGCGUGCUUAACACAUGCAAGUCGAACGAAGCACUUGAAUGGAAUUCUUCGGAAGGAAGCUCAAGUGACUGAGUGGCGGACGGGUGAGUAACGCGUGGGUAACCUGCCUCAUACAGGGGGAUAACAGUUAGAAAUGACUGCUAAUACCGCAUAAGCACACGUGAUCGCAUGAUCGAGUGUGAAAAACUCCGGUGGUAUGAGAUGGACCCGCGUCUGAUUAGCUAGUUGGU
This 262-nucleotide ribosomal RNA is filed under the name uncultured bacterium. Its description in RNAcentral is "partial 16S ribosomal RNA". It matches the Rfam family "Bacterial small subunit ribosomal RNA", at positions 9 to 253 of the family's 1533-position model. The record is from RNAcentral.